RNAcentral lists this ribosomal RNA (1050 nucleotides) under Triticum aestivum (bread wheat). Its description in RNAcentral is "partial small subunit ribosomal RNA". Lineage: Eukaryota; Viridiplantae; Streptophyta; Magnoliopsida; Poales; Poaceae. The record is from RNAcentral.
AUGCACAGAUUUAGGAUGUCCCGUAAUUUGUUCAAACGCAUAGCCGAUGGUAUACUUGAGCAUGAUUAUGAUGGUUAUUUUACUCAAAAAAGAAGUGCUUCUGGAGCUCUUGGGUUACAUCCUCUGCAAAAGAUGACCGCGGCAAUGCGGAUGCUAACAUAUGGAAUAGCAGCUGAUGGUGCUGAUGAGUACAUCCGGUCCGCUGAGGCUACUAAUUUAGAGUCUUGCAAGAAAUUUGUGAUCAAAGUUUGUGAAGUUUUUGGGGAAAGGUACCUGAGAUCUCCAAAUGAAGAAGACAUUGCUAGGUUACUUGCAAUAGGGGAGGAAAGAGGAUUUCCUGGUAUGUUAGGGAGCAUAGAUUGCAUGCACUGGGGUUGGAAAAAUUGCCCCAAAAAAUGGCAUGGCAUGUUUAAAGGCCAUGUCAGCGAGCCCACUAUGAUCUUGGAAGCAGUUGCUUCACAAGAUCUUUGGAUUUGGCAUGCUUAUUUUGGUUUACCAGGGUCUCUGAAUGAUAUAAAUGUUCUUCAACGUUCUCCUGUUUUUACAAAGCUAGCUGAAGGCCAAACUCCUCCAGUGAAUUAUAGCAUCAAUGGCCAUCAGUACACAAUGGGGUAUUAUCUUGCAGAUGGUAUCUAUCCACGGUGGGCAACAUUUGUGAAGAGCAUACCAGCUCCAGAUACCAGAAAACAUAAAACUUUUGCCAAGAGGCAAGAGGGGGCUAGGAAAGAUGUGGAACGAGCCUUUGGAGUUCUCCAAUCCCGUUUUGCCAUUGUUCGUGGACCUGCUAAAGGAUGGAAACGUAAAGAAAUCGGUGAUGUCAUGAAAGCUUGUGUCAUAAUGCACAAUAUGAUAGUUGAAGAGGAGCGACAAACUGGUCGGCAAAGCUGCACUUUUGAGGCAAUGGGAGAAAGAGUCACGGUCUCUCGUACUCAUGCGGAACAACUGAGCUCUUUUAUUCAGAUGACUCACCGGAUUAGAAAUCAAGGUGAACAUGAUCAGCUUAAACUUGAUCUAAUUGACCAUGUGUGGCAAAAGUUUGGAAACGAGUGA